Molecule: non-coding RNA, 956 nt
Organism: Sus scrofa (pig)
Lineage: Eukaryota; Metazoa; Chordata; Mammalia; Artiodactyla; Suidae
Source: RefSeq, a predicted model, not a curated record
GGGGGUGGGGGGGCGGAUCGCCCUCUGCCGGCCUGCGCUGCAGCCGCAACACCCAUCUUUACUGCCUCCUCUCCCUGCAAAUGAGGAGAGUCUAAAACAGGCAUUAACUAAAUGCUGCCGGUUGUGCUAGUUUUAACCUCAUUUCAAUCUGUGCCAUGUUUACGGACGUGAGACAAGUGCAGCCUCAAUAAUAAAUGUCCAUCUCUUCUUAGCCAAUGGAGACCUCAGGGCCACCUCAACAACUACACGUGUACUGGAGGAACGUGGGGUGUUCUCUGCAUAAACCUCUCUGGAGGUGAACAUCAGCAAUACAGAAAUCGAACAAGAGAGGCAUUUUCAUAGAAGAGUUACGCAGAAAAUGGGACGACCUCAGGGGAGGAAAGUGACAGCGUUUGGAGGUGAGAGUUCCAAAGUAGCCGAGGAUGCUCUGCUGGCGAGGGCACACCUUGUUGAAUUCGGCAAACCAGGUAAGGUGGAGGGAGAGAGACGUACAUGCUGAGCCCUUUUAAAGUGAUGUGAUCGUUUAAGUGACUGGGGCUAGGCUGGGGGUGGGGUGGGGGGGCGGUCAAAGAGCGGGUAAGGGGUAUCAGAAGGGACCGCACACAGCCUCGGAGCUCCCUUCCUGUGUGUUUGCCAACACAAAGCAACAUCCUCUCUCUGUCUAUUUGAAAGACACGUGUGCGCAACCCACCUGGCCGAACCUCUCCUUCACUGCCACCUCUCCUCCACUGAGUACGUGAAAGCCUGGACUCCCAAGGCUUUCAGUUUCGGAAUAAGCACCCAUGAUGAAGAGUCACAGAAAAUCUAAGAAAGUGGGAGCUUGGCAUCUCCUCACUUCAUCUCAGAUGUCGCAGAGCUUAAGCAAUGGUGAACAUCGCCUUGUGCUGUUUGGCACCUCGUUCUUGCUCCUGGAAACGUCUAGAAACACUUGCUGUCAAAGCCACGAGACAUAGAGA